RNAcentral lists this long non-coding RNA (1787 nucleotides) under Sus scrofa (pig). Its description in RNAcentral is "lncRNA (ENSSSCG00060070105.1)". The record is from RNAcentral. Lineage: Eukaryota; Metazoa; Chordata; Mammalia; Artiodactyla; Suidae.
UAUCAAUUGUAGAUUUUUGGUUUGCAGUUAUUCUGAAGUUUUGAUGUAAGAGUCUAUAUGUAUAUGAGAUUGUUUUAAGUUGUUGUUCUCUUAAUUGCAAGUUCAUCUCCAGUGUCCUGCAUUUGUACCCACCUCUUCUCAUGAUUUCUGAUUUUGGUGGUAUAAUUGUGCAUGGAUGAUUUCGUAUCUUUACUGUAUAUAUACCUUUACUGGUGAGCCUUGUCAUUUGUGGAAUUUUUGUUUCCUGUUGCUGUCCUUUUCUUUCUGCCUAGAGAAGUUCCUUUAAUAUUUGUUGUAAGGCUGGUUUAGUGUUGCUGAAUUCUCUCAGCUUUUGCUUAUCUGUGAAGGUUUUGAUUUCUCCUUCAAAUCUGAAUGAGAGCCUUGCUGGGUAGAGUAAUCUUGGUUGGAGGUUUUUUCCUUUCAUCACGUUAAGUAUAUCAUGCCACUCCCUUCUGGCCUGCAGAGUUUCUGCUGAAAAAUCUGCCGAUAACCUUAUUGGGGUUCCCUUGUAUGUUACUUGUUUCUUUUCCCUAGCUGCUUUCAAGAUUUUCUCUUUGUCUUUAAUUUUGGUCAGUUUGAUUAAUAUGUGUCUCGGUGUAUUCCUCCUUGGGUUUAUUUUAUAUGGUACUCGUUGUGCUUCCUGGAUUUGAGUGAGUGGUUCCUUUCCCAUGUUAGGGAAGUUUUCGGCUAUUAUCUCUUGGAAUAUUUUUUCUGUCCCCUUCUCUCUCUCUUCUCCUUCUGGCACCCCUAUAAUACGGAUGUUGGUGCGUUUCACAUUGUCCCAGAGUUCUCUGAGACUCUCUUCAUUUGUUUUCAAUCUUUUUUCUCUUUUCUGUUCUGCAUCCGUAAUUUCCACUAAUCUGUCCUCCACCUCGCUUAUUCGUUCUUCUGCCUCCUGUAUUCUGCUGUUAGCUGCUUCUAGUGAAUUUUUUAUUUCAGUUAUUGUAUUUUGCAUCUCUUCUUGUUUAAGUUUUAUAUCUUGUAUCUCUUUGGUCAGUGUUUCCUGUAAGUUAUCCAUCUUUGCCUCCAGUUUAUUUCCAAUGUCUUGCAUCAUCUUCAGCAUCAACAGUCUAAAGUCUUUUUCCUGGAGGCUGAGAAUCUCCUCAUCGCUUAGCUGAUUUUCUGGGGUUUUUCCUUUCUCCCUCAUCUGAGUUAUAGUUCUCUGUCUUUUCAUUUUUAUAGGUUUUUACUGUGGUGACCUUUUUAUAGGUAAUAGAGCUGUAGCCUCUCUUACCUCUGGUGUCUGCCCCCCUUCUGGCUGUAUGGGAGCUUGGUGUAGGCUUCCUGAUGGGAGGGGCUGAUGCCUGCCCACUGGUAGGUGGAACCAAUUCUAAUCUCUCUGGUGGGUGGGGCUUAGUCUCUGGAUGGGAUUCAGGGCUGCUCUGUGCCUGAGGCUCUUUAGGUAGCCUGUUUACUGAGGGGUGGGGCUGUGAUCCCACCUGGAUUGUUGUUUGCCCUGGGGCUUCUCAGCACUGACUGAUGGGUGGGGCCAGAUUUUCCCAAAAUGGCCACCUCCAGAGAAAGGCAACUGCUGAAUAUUCCCGAGAGCUUUGCUUUCAAUGUCCUUCCCUCACAACAAGCCACAUUCACCCCUGUUUUCCCAUGAUGUCCUCCAAGAACUGCAGUCAGGUUUGACCCAGAUUCCCAUGGAGACUUUGCUUUGCCCUGGGACUCAGUGCACAUGAAAGUCUGUGUGCACCUUUUAAGAAUGGGGUCUCUGUUUCCUCCAGUCCUGUGGAGCUCCUGUGCACAAGCCCCACUGGCCUUCAAUGCCAGAUGCUCCAGGG